GGUUAGAGCGCACCCCUGAUAAGGGUGAGGUCGGCAGUUCAAGUCUGCCCAGACCCACCAUUCUCUCGNNNNNNNNNNNNNNNNNNNNNNNNNNNNNNNNNNNNNNNNNNNNNNNNNNNNNNNNNNNNNNNNNNNNNNNNNNNNNNNNNNNNNNNNNCCCUCGAGGAAAAGAAAUCAACCGAGAUUCCCCCAGUAGCGGCGAGCGAACGGGGAGUAGCCCUUAAGCAGGUGACCGGUUAGGCGAAUGAGCUGGGAAGCUCAGCGAUACAGGGUGAUAGCCCCGUAGCCGAAAACCUGAUCCUGUGAAAUCGAGUAGGUCGGGGCACGUGAAACCUUGACUGAAGACGGGGGGACCAUCCUCCAAGGCUAAAUACUCCUGGCUGACCGAUAGUGAACCAGUACCGUGAGGGAAAGGCGAAAAGAACCCCGGCGAGGGGAGUGAAAGAGAUCCUGAAACCGUAUGCGUACAAGCAGUGGGAGCACGCUUUGUCGUGUGACCGCGUACCUUUUGUAUAAUGGGUCAGCGACUUAUUUUCAGUGGCGAGCUUAACCGACUAGGGGAGGCGUAGGGAAACCGAGUCUUAACGGGGCGACCAGUCGCUGGAAAUAGACCCGAAACCGGGCGAUCUAUCCAUGAGCAGGGUGAAGGUUGAGUAACAUCAACUGGAGGCCCGAACCAGGAUCUGUUGAAAAAGAUUUGGAUGACUUGUGGAUCGGAGUGAAAGGCUAAUCAAGCCCGGAGAUAGCUGGUUCUCCUCGAAAGCUAUUUAGGUAGCGCCUCACGUAGCACCGCCGGGGGUAGAGCACUGUUUCGGCUAGGGGGUCAUCCCGACUUACCAACCCGAGGCAAACUCCGAAUACCGGUGAGUGACGCGUGGGAGACACACAGCGGGUGCUAACGUCCGUUGUGAAAAGGGAAACAACCCAGACCGUCAGCUAAGGCCCCGAAAUCCUGGUUAAGUGGGAAACGAUGUGGGAAGGCUCAGACAGCUAGGAGGUUGGCUUAGAAGCAGCCAUCCUUUAAAGAAAGCGUAAUAGCUCACUAGUCGAGUCGGCCUGCGCGGAAGAUGUAACGGGGCUCAAACCAGGUGCCGAAGCUACGGGUAUGCCUGCAUCACUUAAGGCUAUUGGCUUGGCGGAGCGAAGCGACGCCCAAGCGCUCCCCGAACGUCGAGUCGGGUAGCAAGCGAGUAGGUUUAAGGAUGCAGGCAUGCGGUAGAGGAGCGUCGUGUACGCCGAUGAAGGUCCAUUGAGAAGUGGGCUGGAGGUAUCACGAGUGCGAAUGCUGACAUGAGUAACGACAAGGGAGGUGAAAAACCUCCCCGCCGGAAGACCAAGGGUUUCUGUUCGACGCUAAUCGGAGCAGAGUGAGUCGGCCCCUAAGGCGAGGCCGAAAGGCGUAGUCGAUGGGAAACGGGUCAAUAUUCCCGUACCUCACUGUAUUGCGAUGGGGGGACGAAGAAGGCUAGGUGAGCCAGGCGCUGGUUGUCCUGGUGAAAGUCGGUAGGCUGGAGAAUCAGGCAAAUCCGGUUCUCCCAGGCCGAGAGACGAGACGAACAGCCCCCGGGCUGGAAGUCAUCGAUGCCACGCUUCCAGGAAAAGCCUCUAAGCUUCAGAUACAGUGGGACCGUACCCCAAACCGACACAGGUGGUCAGGGUGAGAAUCCUAAGGCGCUUGAGAGAACUCGGGUGAAGGAACUAGGCAAAAUGGUGCCGUAACUUCGGGAGAAGGCACGCCGCCGUUACGUGAAGGCCCUCGCGGCCGGAGCGGAAGGCGGUCGAAGAUACCAGGUGGCUGCAACUGUUUAUUAAAAACACAGUACUCUGCAAACGCGUAAGCGGACGUAUAGGGUAUGACGCCUGCCCGGUGCCGGAAGGUUAAGUGAUGGUGUUAGCUUUGGCGAAGCUCCUGAUCGAAGCCCCGGUAAACGGCGGCCGUAACUAUAACGGUCCUAAGGUAGCGAAAUUCCUUGUCGGGUAAGUUCCGACCUGCACGAAUGGCGUAAUGAUGGCCACGCUGUCUCCACCCGAGACUCAGUGAAAUUGAAAUCGCCGUGAAGAUGCGGUGUACCCGCGGCUAGACGGAAAGACCCCGUGAACCUUUACUACAGCUUCACACUGGACGCUGAUGUUGCUUGUGUAGGAUAGCUGGGAGGCUUGGAACCCCGGACGCCAGUCCGGGGGGAGCCGACCUUGAAAUACCAGCCUGGCAUCAUUGGCGUUCUAACUCAGGUCCGUGAUCCGGAUCGAGGACCGUGUGUGGUGGGUAGUUUGACUGGGGCGGUCUCCUCCCAAAGGGUAACGGAGGAGCACGAAGGUACCCUCAGCACGGUUGGAAAUCGUGCAGUGAGUGCAAGAGCAUAAGGGUGCUUAACUGCGAGACAGACGCGUCGAGCAGGUACGAAAGUAGGUUCUAGUGAUCCGGUGGUUCUGUAUGGAAGGGCCAUCGCUCAACGGAUAAAAGGUACUCCGGGGAUAACAGGCUGAUACCGCCCAAGAGUUCACAUCGACGGCGGUGUUUGGCACCUCGAUGUCGGCUCAUCACAUCCUGGGGCUGAAGUCGGUCCCAAGGGUAUGGCUGUUCGCCAUUUAAAGUGGUACGCGAGCUGGGUUUAGAACGUCGUGAGACAGUUCGGUCCCUAUCUGCCGUGGGCGUUGGAGAUUUGAGAAGGGCUGCUCCUAGUACGAGAGGACCGGAGUGGACGCACCUCUGGUGUUCCGGUUGUCACGCCAGUGGCACUGCCGGGUAGCUAUGUGCGGACGGGAUAACCGCUGAAGGCAUCUAAGCGGGAAGCCCCCUUCAAGAUGAGAUCUCCCCGAGGCCU
RNAcentral lists this ribosomal RNA (2825 nucleotides) under Halomonas cerina. Its description in RNAcentral is "Bacterial large subunit ribosomal RNA". It matches the Rfam family "Bacterial large subunit ribosomal RNA". The record is from Rfam by way of RNAcentral. Lineage: Bacteria; Pseudomonadati; Pseudomonadota; Gammaproteobacteria; Oceanospirillales; Halomonadaceae.